AUAUAUACAUGUGAGUGUGAGUCUUACAUAAGCAGCAGUGUGAAACUCUCUGAAGUCUCCCUGUUUCUUGUUGAGGAGCUCCAGAGAAUCAUCUGCUUCAUUCAGAGUCUUGAGAGCAGCUUCUCCAACAUCCUGCAGCCAGGAGCUCACCUACAGGUAUAAAUAUAUAUUAACAAUGAUCCAACACACACACACACAGACACACACACUGUGACCCCAGGGUAAUUCUGUAUGUGUAUUCAGAGCCGUGAGCGGUGGACUUCACGGGAAGUAGAUAAAUAUGAGUAUACAUACACUAGUAUGUAUACUCAUAUUUACUUAUAUAUACACUGGUACUACGUCUGGUUGGGGAAUCCGAACUCUCUCCUUCCUACCAGCUGAUGAACAGAAACAAAGGAAUUCCAGGAACUGUAGGAACGCAGCUCAUUCAGCUGGGCACCAGCAUCCCACCAGCAGACGGACCUCCUCGGCGGACUGUGAGCAGUUGUGUGCGUACUGAGCAUGCUCAGACUGACCUCGGCAAAGCCCGCCUCCAGGCCCUUGAAGUACAGGAUGAAGUUCAGCUCCUGCGUCCUGGCGUUGGAGAGAGUGACCAGACGAUGCAGCAGCUCGUCCACCUGCUCGUACAGCGCGGACACCACCUCCAAAGCCACGCCGACACCGCCCUCUUCUCGGCGCAGGCGAGACAGCGAGGCCCCGCCCUCCUGCUGUAGCUGCACCAAUCGGCUGUCUUCGAGGACGCUGCGCAUCAUGGUUUGGUACCUGGACAACAGCACCUCGGCCUCCUGAGAAGGAACGAGAGAACCUGGAGUGAGUCUGCGUGUCUGCGUGUCUGCGUGUGUGUGUCUGCGUGCGUGCGUGUGCGUGUGCGUGUGUGCGUGUGCGUGCGUGUGUGUGUGCGUGCGUGUGUUACCUCUGCUCCAGCAGGUAGAGGUGUGUUCUGCAGGAUGUUGACGGUUUUCUGCAGCAGCUUGAUGACGUCGUCACACUGAAUUGUCAGCUGCUCCAAUCGCUAAACAAACAACACAAUAAGUUACUGUUGAACUUUGUGUGCGUCUGCAGGUGGAGAACCUACCGAUCUGAAGCAGAGCCAGCUGCUCAGACUGAAGCUGGAGGAACCUCCGAACUCUGCAGGAAACUGCUGGAGAGCUACGUGCUUCUGAAGAGACUUCAGCGAAAACAACACCUCCACCUGCACACACACACACACACAGACACACUCUCUGAGAACCUCUGAUUCAUCUGCUGUGAGCACGAGUACAUGGACCCUGCUGCAGGUCAAUAUUCAGGGUGAUCAUGUGACCAGGUGAUCAUGUGACGGGCUUUACCUGUGCUGCUCCAUGUACGUCGAGACCCAUAAAAGAAUCCUUGUUGAGCAGCAGGAGGACGGAGUGGACAGAGCCAGGGACGUUCUCCUGAGGGGCCGAGGAGGCGACAGUUUAACAUCACCCUGCUGGCCAGCGACCAAUCAGAACAUGAUGGUGCGCUCAGGUGCGCACGUUGGGGCGUAGUUUCAGACUCACCUGCAGGGCCCUGAGGGCAGAGAACAGGACCGGGACUGGAGCAGCUCCGCGGGCGUCCACCAGAACCGUCAGGCCCAAGGCUGCCACCUCUUUUCUGUUUCACACAGGAAGUGAUGUCAGAGGAGGAGGACCCGAGUGUGUGUGCGAGUACAGGUGUGGGGGAGGGGCUACCUGAGGGUGGAGCAGUAGUAGAGUAGGAGGCGCAGCAGCACGGCGCUGUCACAGUCGGGGUUGGACCACACGGAGUUCGUGGUGCAGACCGCCAGCAGAACUCGACCGCUCCGGUCUCUGGUCCCUGAACGGAGACAGUCUCCCCUCAUGAGGCAUUCAAGGACUAGUAGGAAACCCAAGAACUCACAGCUUCACCGCUCUAACAUUUAUAACAGAACCUGUAUUUGCAUUGGUUUUAUUCACCUUUCACACCGGAGGAUUUGGUUCUGGGUCUAACCCUUGAUGUGGUUCUGAUCUUGGUUCAGGUCUACAGUUUUACUCACCAGGUAAACAGAGAGCUCCAGAGCGUAGCAGCACUGUGUAGAAGCUGGCCUGGGAGGACUGGGAGAGCCGUACUGGUACCAUUGAAGCAGCUGACUGGUGCAGCUGCGGUUCUGGUUCUGUUGGACUGGGACCGGUCGAAGGGGGGCCGUAAGACUGGAAAGGACGUCUGCUGAGGCCUGUCGAGAAAAGUUAACUAGUCACUGACCUUUCCUCGCACUAACUAGUUGUCUCAAAUGUCCUCAGACUAUUAGGUUGACAUUAGUCUCUGACCAGUCCUCAGACUAACUGGUUAACGUUAGUCUCACACUAACUAGUUGACAUUAGUCUCUGACCUGUCCUCACACCUAGUAAACAGAAGUUGACAUCAGGACCACAGAGAGUCUUCACAUCUUCAGACUAAAGACACACCUCUUCAGACUCCACCUCCACUAACACACUAACUGUAGCACUUACAUUGGACUUAUAAUGGUUCUUAUCUACAGCAAGUUGGACAUCGGCUUAUUUGAUGAAAUCGCACUUUCUUGUUUCUUGUUCUUCUGAGUUUGUGUCCUUAUGGUUGAAAUGUUCUUAUUGUAAGUCGCUUUGGAUAAAAGCGUCAGAUAAAUGACAUGUGAUGUGAUGUAAUGGGUUAAGUUCUCCGUCAUAUAAUUCACUAACUCGUCCCCUGAGGAAUCUACAUCCAAACUGAGACAACAGAUGUUUUUGAGGAGGUGGAGGACAAUGAUUCAGCCAAUCAGAUGAUGAUAUCAACAGAAGGAUGAAAAGCAGGAGGGAAGUAUAACUGAGGAGAAGGUUUCUGUACCUUCAGUCUGAGGCUUUGCAGUUCUUCCUCCACCAACCUCUUCACUUUGCUCCUCCUCCUCCUUCUUCUUCUCUCGUUGGUUUUCCUGUCCAGCUCUGCACCAGAGUGAUUCUGCAUCCAUCGGUGGUGAGUUGGUUUCAGAACAAGAGUCUUCAGAGGGUUUGUGUUUAGCAGAAUAAAAGUCCCCAUGGUGCCUGUGUUGGUUAUGGUUUUCAGAAUAAGAGUCCCCAUGGUGCCUGUGUUGGUUAUGGUUUUCAGAAUAAGAGUCCCCAUGGUGCCUGUGUUGGUUAUGGUUUUCAGAAUAAGAGUCCCCAUUGUGCCUGUGUUGGUUAUGGUUUUCAGAAUAAGAGUCCUCAAAGAGUGUUUGAACCACUUUGUUUUCAGAAGGGUUGUCAGGGUGUCUUUGGUUGGUCUUAUCUUCACAAUAAGAGUUGUAAGAGUGCUUGGGUUGUCUAUUACAUUCAGAAUAAGAGUCCACAGAGUGUGUAUUUUCUUGUGUCUCCUCCUCUUCCUCGCCUUCUUUCAUUAUUUGCUCUUCCUCCCUCCUACCUCGAUUCUGCUGCUGAACUGUCACCUGAACCUCUUCUUCCACUUCUAUCUCCUCUAACUCAUCCAACUCUCCCUCUGUGUCUUCACUUUCAUUUAGUAAACCUUCAUCCUGCCUAUACUUUGCAUCCUCCAGCUGUUUUUCUUCCUUGUCUUCAUCAUCUGGCACUACCAUUCCAUGCUUCCCUUUCUGCCUCUUCAUCAGCUCUCUCUCCUCCAUCCCUCCCCCUGGCUCCUCCUCCUCUUCCUCUUCACUCACAUCUGUGCAGCUUUCAGGUUCAGUGUUUAACUUCAGACGUAUGCCUGAAUCAGUACCUUCCAUGUUCUCCAGUGACGUCCAGCUGAUGGGUCCCAGGGCUUCAGGAGGAGCAGAGGAGGUGGAGGAGAUUGCGGUGAGGAUGACCGUUCCACAGGGGUCCUGGAUCAGGUUCUCCUCCAUGAGCCUGGAGCAAAGAGGGGUGUGGGAGCUGACCUCCACACCGGGCCAGGAGGAGAGUGUGUGAGUGGCGUGUGUGCUGGUCCUGGCUCGGUGCUGCAGAUUGAUGGACUGGGUUAAGGAGCCUUUCUGUGGGGAGAAGCGAGGCAGCUCCAUCAGCUCCACGUACUCGCCCUCCGAGUCCUCGGUGUCCUCACUCGCUGCUCUCGAGGAGCUGACAUCUCUCACCAGAAGUUGCGACGUUUUCAUCAACAUGUCUCCAUCCUUAACAGGGGACUCGUUCUCCUUCUUCAGGGAGGGCUCGCUGGGGAAUGGUGGGUAGACCAGGUCCGCCCACGGGACCUUAAAGACGUCCCCGUGGGCGGAGAGGAGGCAGCUCUCAAGUCUCCGCGCCCCUCGCUGCUCCCCCUCCUUGUUGAUUGAGUCCAGCCAGGCCAUGCUGAAGAUGACGGCGGGGCUAUCUCGCACAUUUCCUGGUGCUCCACAUGGAGCGGAGGAGGUUGCAGCUCUGAUGCAGGACGCGCUGUGGUCUCAGGGAGGAGGAGCAGGUAGAAGUCUCCUGGAAGCGAAGGCCUCCUCCCCUGCAGCAGCUCUCCACCACACAGAGGACCUGAGGAAGGAGGAGAGAGGGGCCUGGAUGCAGCGGUCCAACGAUUCAGAGCCCUGUGGAGUAAAGAACAAGAACAGAACUAUAUGAAGAGCUUGUAGCUUCACGGCACUCGUCAUCUAACUCUGCUAAUGUUAAGGCUUCUUACACUGCAGCUGAUCUCAGGGCGACGAAAUAACCAGGAGUCAAACCUUUAACACAGAGCAGAAGUGUGAAUUCAGGUUCAAAUAAAAAUGUCUUCCGUUUCUGCCCGAGAACACCAGUACCAGUACCGCUGACCAGCACCAGCGAGCUUUUAGACCAGCACACAGCUGAGUUCGGCCACCUCCUGGGCUAUAAUUAGUCCACACAUGCAUGUUACUGUACUCCAGUCAGCUGCUGCACGUCUGAAUAGGAGCCAACACGCCUCAUCAGCACGUGUUCCUUUCUCAGCCGCACCCCUGGAGGUGUGGCUGAGAGACCCCGUCUUUAUGGUGGCAGUAACUGCCAGCACUUGCCGCCGGAGCGCUUCUUGUAUAAGUUUAUUUGUAUGUAUUAAAAUGUCACAUAAAAAAUAUAUAUAUAUAUUUAUGAUAUAUAUAUAUGAGAACACAGUAGUACAGACAGAGGACGCACUCGUACACACUGAGGACACACUAGUACAGACAGAGGACACACUAGUACACACUGAGGACACACUAGUACACACUGAGGACGCACUCAGGACACACUAGUACACACUGAGGACACACUAGUACACACUGAGGACACACUAGUCCACACUGAGGACACACUGAAGGGGGUGCACAUCAAAGCUGUCCCCUGAGGUCCCCUGGGACAAGCAAAGAGACCCUGUUGGCCUGCUGAAUAGUGACCUUGUGGGUCCGGGUUAGCACAGCUCUCAUUAGGAGCAAUUUACAGUGAGGUCAGAGGUCGAUACCUAGAUGAUCCUAUAGACACGUAGACUAAAGGUGAUCAGAUACCUUGUGGUGCUUUAAGCUACAAUGUAGAUAGUGGUAUAAGUACACAUACACAGUAUUACCGGGACCAGACUAACCCGAUCAACACGUCUCUAUAGAGUGAAAACUUCCAACUGCUGCUCUUUGCCGCCACACCCAGAUUAAACUAAUCCAAUCCCUCAGGUCCUGCUGGUUCCUCUCCCUCCCCAGAGAGCCAUGAUUCAUCCACCAACCCUCAACUGGCGGCCCAGUGACUUCUGAGCCCCCCGGUAGUGGGCAGGCCAGCUGUCCCUCACACCCAUGAGCCCAUCAUACUGAGCACGGGACGUCCCGUGUCCUUUUACUCUGGAAACAUGCAGAGAAACCCCCCCUCCAAGGAGGCUUUUAUUGUGAAAGAGGAAGUGAGUGUGAAGGGAAAACAUGGGAGACUGAUAACAGAUACACACACACACACACACACACACGGCUUCAGAUACACAAUGCAACUGAUACACAGCACACACACUCUUUGGUUUUAUAUCACAUCCCAGAUAUUCUCUUUUGAUAUAUUUCAUGUAUUUUGCUCUUUUACGGUUCAUAUCUCAGAUUAUCUCUAAUGCAGAGCUCUCAACUUUUCAAAACACUUUGGAGUGACAUGUGUCAGUGGGGACCGUACGGCCGACGGGGAGGGUGGAGAGAAACAGCGGCUCGGACCGAAGUCCGAUUUGAUUUUUAGCGCGGGGUGAAUAAAACAAACCUGCGAAAAAUAUAAUGCAGUGAAUAUCAAAAUAUAUAUAGUGAAGUGAAGAUUGAAAAUAGUUAUAGAGCUGAGUCAAAACUAUAUUCAUCCCGAAAAUAUUUUUUGUCCACUGAUUUUUCCUGAGCUACUGUUUUUAUGGCCGCCACACUUUUCAGUUAAGGUGCGUUCACACAACCGCUGUGCGAAUUGUUUUUGCUGCGAGUAUGAGAGCAUCCUGCUUAUAUUUUAUACUCAUAUUUAUCAUUAAAAAACCUCUCCUAAAUGAACCACAUGAAAUGGAAAUAUAACAAAUAUCCAUGACUUUUCCAAAACUUUUAUUUUUUUUCUAUGACUUUUCCAGGCCUGGAAAUGACCAUUUCAAAGUUCCAUGACUUUUCCAGGUUUUCCAUGACCGUACACACCCUGUAUUCAGUUCAAUUCAUUUUAUUUUAUAUAACCCAAAAUCGCAAAUUACAGAUUGGCUUUAGAGGGCUUUACAGUCUGUUGCUGCUUCGUCAAAGAGCAUAAUCAAGUUUAAAUAAUCUGAUUGGCUGCUUCUGACGGUUUAUUCACAUUACUCAUCAGGUUACUUUAAGCUCCUCUUGUUGUAUUUGCAGCUACUCAUAUUCAAUCCGCAGGAAACCUUAUUCAGCCCAAUUUCAUCUGACAGACACUCAACAAUUCUAUUGCAGAUUCAAACACACACACAGACACACACACACGCACAGACACACACGCACAAACACAUCCCCCUCAGGACUAACGUUUGAUGAAACCCUACAGCCCCCCAUAACCAGACCAGGUGUGUGUCUUACCAUGUGGGCAGCAGUCUCUCUCUCUCUCUCUCUCCCUGAGGUUUCUCAGUGUCUCUCAUCC
This is a long non-coding RNA of Gasterosteus aculeatus aculeatus (three-spined stickleback), 6941 nucleotides long. NCBI's taxonomy places the organism in Eukaryota, Metazoa, Chordata, Actinopteri, Perciformes, Gasterosteidae. The record is from Ensembl.